AGUUCUCCUUGGCUUUUAUCUCAGUCAGGUUCUACCACUGAUAACCUUAGGACUCAGUACAGGCUUAAGGUGAAUCUCUAUUGUAUUAACCAUGCGACCUCAGGAAACCAACAAUGAAGUGACCAAAUUAGGGACUACCUACUACACGGUGAUGGAGAGGGCCCUCUUAACACCCCGUGAAAAAUACAGCGAGCCUAUCACCGAUAGCAUGAACAUUGGAUGGCAUGUCAACAAGGAGAACACAGCAGAGGCUUCAGUUCAAAGGAAAUUCGGAAGGCGGGUCACUGAUGUUACCAGUUUUUCGAGCAAUUUUCCCAUGUGCCGCCAGCAUAGUCCUCCCCCAAGGAAGACCACCGCCGAUCACCCACGCCCCGUCAUGGGGCGGGCCCCCAAAUCCAGCACAGACUGGAGGACAGCAGACCCCAAAGCACCAGCCCCACCAGCUACCCAUUACAAUAUGAUGGAGAGGGCCCGCUUAACGCCCCAUGAAAAAUACACCCAGCCUAUCACCAUGAACAUGACAUAUGGAUGGCAUGUCACCAAUGAGGUAAGAAAGAAUUUAUAAUGUCAUUACAUUUUGUCAAUGAUCUACAUUUAUUAUUAUUAUUAUUAUUAUGCAUUAAGAUAUCCUCACACCCUCUCAUGGUCAUUUAAGGUAUUUUGUCACAAGCAAAUUAAUUGAAAACUUACUGAACCACUAACCAUAAAUAUUCAUUUUUUUUCUCUAAGAACACAGCAGAGG
This 742-nucleotide long non-coding RNA is filed under the name Gouania willdenowi (blunt-snouted clingfish). Its description in RNAcentral is "lncRNA (ENSGWIG00000023752.1)". Lineage: Eukaryota; Metazoa; Chordata; Actinopteri; Blenniiformes; Gobiesocidae. The record is from RNAcentral.